RNAcentral lists this ribosomal RNA (520 nucleotides) under uncultured bacterium. RNAcentral's name for it is "bacterial SSU rRNA". It matches the Rfam family "Bacterial small subunit ribosomal RNA", at positions 19 to 518 of the family's 1533-position model. The record is from RNAcentral.
CUGGCUCAGAACGAACGCUGGCGGCGUGCUUAACACAUGCAAGUCGAACACGAAAGGGACUUCGGUCCUGAGUAAAGUGGCGCACGGGUGAGUAACGCGUAGAUAACCUGUCUUCAUGUCUGGAAUAAUACGCCGAAAGGGGUACUAAUACCGGAUAUUCUUGCUUUUCAUAAGUUAUGCAAGCAAAGGUGGCCUCUGCAUAUGCUACUGCAUGAAGAGGGGUCUGCGUACCAUUAGCUAGUAGGUGGGGUAAUGGCCUACCUAGGCGACGAUGGUUAGCGGGUCUGGGAGGAUGAUCCGCCACACUGGCACUGGAACACGGGCCAGACUCCUACGGGAGGCAGCAGUGAGGAAUAUUGCGCAAUGGGGGAAACCCUGACGCAGCGACGCCGCGUGAAGUGAGGAAGGCCUUCGGGUCGUAAAGCUCUGUCAAGAGGAAAGAAGUGUACAAUGGCUAAUACCUGUUGUAUUUGACGGUACCUCUAAAGGAAGCACCGGCUAACUCCGUGCCAGCCGCCGC